This 332-nucleotide unclassified non-coding RNA is filed under the name Bacillus anthracis str. A2012. Its description in RNAcentral is "putative tmRNA". Lineage: Bacteria; Bacillati; Bacillota; Bacilli; Caryophanales; Bacillaceae. The record is from RNAcentral.
AUAUCUAAGUAAAUAGUUGAAGAGUGGGUUUUGCUAUAUUAUAAAUCGUUUUUAAUAUAGCAAUUGGCACUGUAUAGAAAAUUUAUAGGUGUAGGUGAAUGUUGUGAAAAAACCAAUUGAUUUAAAUUCUUUAGUGAGCAGUUAUAAAAAUUUACCAGAGGAAGCUUUUGAAGGAAUUAAAAAAUUUUUUAAUUUUACUAUCAGCAAUGCAGAGAUUGAACAGAUUUCUGCUUUUAUUGAUAAUUUAAUUGUGGAGGAUAGAUUCUUUGGAUAUUUUUAUGUAGGUUACAAGAUACCUCAAAUAGAUAAGGAAUUUGACUUACUUAGAUUUG